This 6155-nucleotide long non-coding RNA is filed under the name Manihot esculenta (cassava). Its description in RNAcentral is "long non-coding RNA (MESC_LNC006372)". Lineage: Eukaryota; Viridiplantae; Streptophyta; Magnoliopsida; Malpighiales; Euphorbiaceae. The record is from RNAcentral.
CAAGGAUCUUUAUCUCUAAUUCCUCUACUGCAAAUUGCUCAACUGGUUGCUCUUCUACCUUUCCUUCUGUCCUUUUCUUCCUCCACAUCCUUUUCCGCUGCCAAUGAAUAGCAAAAAUCACAGCUAUAACAAUAAAGGUCGCUCCCAGCGCGCUGCCACCCGCAGCCGUUGCCAACACAGGCAUCCAUUCGGUGCCUCCACUAUGUGGUGUGAUCACCCAAGUUGCUGCUAGAAAACUGAUUCCCAUGCACAAAACUGCUACCCACAUGACCCUGUCAGCAAUCUUUAGCACUCUCACCAGCGGUUUUCUUCGAAAAGGGAUGAUCCUGAUGAGAGUAAUGACAACUGAAAGAGAGGUGAACAAUGCAAAAGUGUUGCUUAUUUCAAACACCUUGAAAGCUGUUGCUCUGGCUAGUAUUGAUUUCCCUUUCAUUGGUCCAUCCUGGUAGACACCACCAGGAGGAUUUAUCCCAGCAGCAAAACUUACUGUUGCAAUUAAAACAGCGACUACUAUGAUGGUGUUCCUCGAAUUUUGUAGUGCUUCUAUCUGCAUCUUUCUUAGGUGAUCACUAGUGUGUCUAGCUAGUUCCUUUUGCGUUGGUUUUUUGUUCUUUUCAGAUCUUGUCGUAUUAUAAUUUGUUUGAGCAGCAGCUCCACUUGGUUGUGAAUUGUGAGUCGUUGUGGCGCCGUUAGAAGAAGCAGGUGAUUUAAUAUCCUUGUGCUCCAUUCCAUUGUCAUUACUUUCUCUAACUAGUGAUGUCGAAGAGAUCACAAUGCUACGUUUACCACCGGCUUUAACUAACAAGUUUGCAAGACUCCAUUUUUCUUCAUCAGGGAAAGCUACCUCUUCGAGUAUGUCCAGUGCUGUGAGACCCGAGUAAUUUUGGGCAUUGAGAUCCAACAGUUUAACCUUGAUUAAGUACUCUGCAAUCUGAACAUCAUAACACAUCUUUGUCGAUAAAGAAAAAAGAAUAAAAAUAAAAAAAAUAAAGAAAAGACUAGAGAUUAGCGUAAAAGGAGAGAUGAAUUCGUACUUUAUAGCAGCCUGUGGAUAUAGCAAGAUGUAAGACUGUAUUAUCGUGUUGGUCUCGGACGAGGAGGAAGUGAGGUAUGGUUGUAAAAACAUCCCUCAUGACAAUGAAGGCAUCGAAGCUGCCGGAUUUAACAGCAAGGUGAACUACAGAAUCCCCCUGUUGUGUGAAUAAAUUGAAACAUUCGGGAGCUCUCGACUGAAAUUCACGGAUGAUGGGAGCACAACCAUUCAUUGCCGCCAAAUGCAAUGGUACAUACCCUUUGUUAUUAAGUACCAUACUACUUUGGGGGGCAUACUCUAAAAGGAUUUUUGUCAUCUCCAAGCUACUCUUUUCACAAGCGCAGUGAAGCGGUAAACACCCAUCCUGGUCACAUUUCCAAGCAAAACUUGGCCUCGCUUCCAAUAUUGCUCUCACAACUCCUGCACGGCCAACUCCAUUAAUUGACUUUAAUUUGGCUCAAAAAACACAUUUUUCAAACUCCAAAAGGGAAAAGAAAAAGAAAAUAAAAUAAGUUUCAAAACUUACUUCUGUCUGCUCUUGACACUGAUUGGUGCAAAGCAUUUGAAGGGUAUCUAGCUUCUUCAAUGUCCAUUAGCCAACUUUGGUUGAGCAGGAGAUUAACUACACCAAGAUGCCUUCGGCUACAAGCUAUGAAAACGCACUCUCGUUGUUGUAGUUAAGUUGAGUGGCUUCCAUUGGCUUGGUCUCUAACAGCAACGUCACAAUAUCAGCUUUUCCUACUCGACAGGCCUCAUGGAGAGGAGUAUCCCCUCGAAUAUUCUGAGCUGAAACCAAGUCAGGACACAGCUCUAAAAUUGCUCUAGCUAUUUCUGUUUUCCCUUUUAUUAUUGCCUAGUGCAGAGAUGUGUUAGAGGAAUCCGAUGAUCGUUGUUGAAGCACUCGUUUGUCUUCCUGAACUAAUAUUUCAAAGACAACUUUAUCAUUUUCCUGAAUGGCUUCUAAAAGCCUUGGAUCCAUUUCCUUUUUGUGCUAGGCUUAAGGCUGGAAAAGUAUGUUCAGGUUUCAGAAGUAUAUGUAGGCAACAAAGCAACAGACCUAGAUAUUCUGAGAAGGAAGAGAGCACUUUGUUAAUUUCUUUGUUAUCUUCAUGGAACCUUCAAGGCAUUCAGCUUCCGAGUUCCAGCCACCUUCAAGGAAAUUCAUUGAUGAUCAAUGGUUCUUUUGAAGUGAGACAAAGGCUUUUCCAAAGUCAAUUUUAGUACUCGUUCUCUUUCAGUUCACACUCAAAUAAUUAAUGCAUAAUACAUAAUUCGAUCUAUAAAUUUUUUAAAAAAAAUCAACAUUCUAUAAUUUUAACAUAUAAAUAUUCCGCUCGCGUGUCACAAUGUUUUUACCCAAUAACUUUCACUUUGAUUAAAGCUUCAUAAUGAGAAAAUGAAAACCAGCAGAAGGCUCGAAGCCAGUAAGACAAAGACAUUAAAGAAGGAAGCAGCUCGUAAAGGAGUAAAAAAUUUUUUAGGAUAAAUGUUAGAAAAAUUAAAAGGAGCUGUUGACCAUCACUGAAAUAAAAAUAAAAAGUUUUAGAAGUUUUGAUAACCAAGUUUGAUUUAGAAUAAAAAAUAGAUAUAUAAAAUUGAAACUAGAUAUUUAAAAAUAAAAAAUAAAUAUCUAAAAUCAGAUAUAAACGGCUCUUAGAAUAGAGUAUCACAAAUGUAAACCAGAAAUUAAGGUUAACAAAUAUAUUUCAGACUAUGAGAUUAUCUUGAUAAAAGAGAAAUAAGAUGGUGAGAAAAACAAAUAUCAAACUUCAUUAAAACAGAAAGAAAUAUAUAUAUAUAUUUUUUUAUUUCUAACAAUCAUUUACACGAAAUUCUCUCCAUUCUCUCUUUCUCUCUUUCUAACCGCAAUACACCCUUUUUACAGGUAAAUAUAAUCUUUACUCCGUCAACACAUGUCUAUAUAUGAGUACAUUACUUGUUUUACACACACAAAUUUUCUUUAAUUUCAUUCGAUAAAAGAUCUCAUAAGCGUAAAUUUGUUGCAGUAAAAUAUCUCUAUUCGCCAAUAAUUCUCAAGAAUUUUUCUUUCAAUUUUUGAUCCUUCUUAAUUGAAGCCAAAGAUUCGCCACUGUUAAAAAAAUAGUGAAGAGAGUAGAUAUGAUCUAAAUACUGAUUGCAGCGACGGAAUUCAGGAAAAACAUAACAAUCUCAACAGAUUUUCGCUACUUCUCCUCAAACAACAAAUUAUAAAAAGAAAUGACUAAAAGCCUUUAAUAAUAAAGUUGUAAAUUUCAGCCGUUUAUGGACGUGCAUAGGGUCCCUCCAACAAUUAUUUUUGCAAUUUAUGGAUAUGUAUCGAGUCCCUUCAAUAAAUUUUUUUCUGUAAUUCAUGGACAUGCAUUGAAUCCCUUCAACAAAGAUUUCUAUAGUUUAUAGAUAUGCUGGUCCCUUCAAGAAAUUUUUAGCCUUUUAUAGACAUAUUUAGGGGUGAGCAUUCGGUCGGUUCGGUUCAAAACCGAACCGAACCGAAUAAACCGAAAACCGAAAUUUUAGGUUUUAUGAAAACCGAACCGAACCGAUUUUGGUCAGAAACCGAAUCGAACCGAACCGGUCUGAUUCGGUUCGAUUCGGUUCGGUUUGAUCGGUUUCGAUUUUUAAUAUUUUUUUAAUUUUUUACACUUUAUUUUUAGUAUUUUAAAAUUUAAUUAAAAUAUUUUAAUUUUAAUAUAAUUUAAUUUCUCUAUAUUAUUGAAAAAACAUAUUAUUAUUCCUAAUCGGUUCGGUUCGGUUUUUUCGGUUUUUUUCUGAUCAAAACCGAACCGAACCGAAAUAACCGAAAUUUCUGAAAUUUAAAACCGAACCGAACCGAACCGAAAUUUAUAAAAAACCGAACCAAAUUUUCAAAUCGGUUCGGUUCGGUCGGUUUUUUCGAUUUGAACUGGAUUCUGCUCAGCCCUAGACAUAUUGAUCCCUUUAAUAAACUUUCGGUCUUUUAUGGACUUAUUGGUUCCUUCAAAAAAAUUUUAGCUUUUUUAUGGACAUGGUGGUUCUUUCAAAUAACUUUCAGUCUUUUAUAAACUUGUUAGUCUCUUCAAAAAAUUUUCAGCCUUCUAUAGACAUGUCAAUCCUUUGAAACAAGAUUUUUUUUUUUCAAAUAGUUUAGAAAUAUGUUAGUCUAAAACAUCAGUUUAAAGACAUGAUAGUCUAAAAUAUAAAUUUAAAAAUAUAAAGUCGCAGGUCUUAUAAAUUUUAAAUCUUUAUAGACUUGCAAGUCUUCUCAUAAAUUUUGGAUACUUCCAAACAAAAAGAUAAAGAAACCAAUCUUUUAAAUUUCUUAAAAUUUUAAAAGUAGAUAAAUAUAAAAUCUUUCAAAAGGUCUUGAAUUUUGAAAAUAUAUAAAAAAAUCCAACCUAGAAUAAAUCUUUCAAAGUGUUAGAAUAUUUACAAGUAUUUGAAUAUUUACAAGUAGAUGAAAAAACUAACUUUUUCUAACUUUUCAAAUUAGAAAGUAGAUGAAAAUAAAAGAAAUAAAAAACUUAAAAAAGGUCACAAAAGCAUUGAAACAAGCUCUCAAAAAUUAUUUGGCCUAUGAUAGCCCGUUGAAAAAUCAAAAGAAUCUCUAAUACAAUCACUAAAAUAAAAAUAGAAAGUUUAGAAAUUCGGAUAACAAGUUCGAUUAAGAAUAAAAAAUAAAUGUUUAAAACUAAAAUUAAAUUUGUAAAAACAGAAAAUAAAUAUAUAAAAACAGAUAAAAGUAGCUCACAAACCAAAGCAUCACGAAUACAAAUAAAAAAUUAAGAUUUUUGUAGAAUAUGCAACAUCAAAAUAAAGAUGAGAAUAAUUGAUUUAAACUUAGCAAAUAUAUGUUAGAAUAUAACAAAAGAAAAAAAAGAUAACAGAAGAAUAAAUAUCAAACUUCAUUGAAUUUUUGAGAAAUACUAAUUUUUUUCCUUUUUCAUUUCUAACAAUCAUUUACAAUAAAUUCUCUUUUUCUCUCUUAAUUUCCACAUGCAAUAACCCUUUUUACAGGCAAAGAAAAGUCUCACAGAGUCGACACAUGCCUAUCCCUAGAGAUAGGUCAAUAAAUAUUAAUUCUUAAUAAGGGCAACUUAACACCUUAUUACUACAGAUUCUAUGGAGGAGGCAAGAAAAAGGUGAACCGGAGGAAAUUUUCGAUCACUGGAGAUUCCUGGAAAUAGUCAUUGGGGGUCCAGGAAAAAGGGUCCCAUUUGCAAAUUGCAAAUGGCGACUUGCAGGAGAUUGCAUAUGAGGCCAACCAGUGGACUUUUAGGCUAUGUUUGGUUCAGUUCCAAUUUCUAAAAUUUUGUUGAAUUCAAUUGAAUUUCAUAUUUUGUGUGUUUAGUUUGAAUAAAGAUUAAAAUUCAAUUCUAAAAAUUCAAUUCCAUGAAAUUAGUUAUAACUAAAACCAAUUUCUAGUGGUUCAGGAGCAGUAGUGUCCGAUAGACUUGUUUCACUCCUAGUGGUUCUGCUUGCCACGUUAGUUGCUUUACUGUUGUCAUCUUAAACAAUUCUUUGUUGAUCAGUGUCAGGUUCCAGCUAGCUGUUGGAAUCCUUUGUCUAAACAAUGUCUUUUGAGUAAUUGUUUAGCUGUUGAACAAUACUGCUUUUGAUAUUCUCGGAUGAGUUUCUCUGUUUUGAAUGUUUUCGUAGCAUUUAAUUGCAGUUAUUAAUAUUGGUUUCUUGCUACUAAUAACUUCUAUUUUUCCGAAAUUUGUCUAAUUCUUUUGUUUCCAGCCUGUUUAUAGUACAGCAGUAAUUCCAUGUAUAUACAUGGCGUACAAGUUUUUCAUCGGAACUAUCAGUAUGUGUGAUAUCCUAAACCGUAAUUGGGUGCAAUGUCUGAACUUGCGCUUCCAAGGAUCUUUAUCUCUAAUUCCUCUACUGCAAAUUGCUCAACUGGUUGCUCUUCUACCUUUCCUUCUGUCCUUUUCUUCCUCCACAUCCUUUUCCGCUGCCAAUGAAUAGUAAAAAUCACAGCUAUAACAAUAAAGGUCGCUCCCAGCGCGCUGCCACCCGCAGCCGUUGCCAACACAGGCAUCCAUUCGGUGCCUCCACUAUGUGGUGUGAUCACCCAAGUUGCUGCUACAAAACUGAUUCCCAUGCACAAAACUGCCACCCACAUGACUCUGUCAGCAAUCUU